GAUGAACGCUGGCGGCGUGCCUAAUACAUGCAAGUCGAGCGAACAGACGAGGAGCUUGCUCCUUUGACGUUAGCGGCGGACGGGUGAGUAACACGUGGAUAACCUACCUAUAAGACUGGGAUAACUUCGGGAAACCGGAGCUAAUACCGGAUAACAUGUUGAACCGCAUGGUUCAACAGUGAAAGACGGUCUUGCUGUCACUUAUAGAUGGAUCCGCGCCGCAUUAGCUAGUUGGUAAGGUAACGGCUUACCAAGGCAACGAUGCGUAGCCGACCUGAGAGGGUGAUCGGCCACACUGGAACUGAGACACGGUCCAGACUCCUACGGGAGGCAGCAGUAGGGAAUCUUCCGCAAUGGGCGAAAGCCUGACGGAGCAACGCCGCGUGAGUGAAGAAGGUCUUCGGAUCGUAAAACUCUGUUAUUAGGGAAGAACAAAUGUGUAAGUAACUAUGCACGUCCUGACGGUACCUAAUCAGAAAGCCACGGCUAACUACGUG
This 497-nucleotide ribosomal RNA is filed under the name uncultured bacterium. RNAcentral's name for it is "partial 16S ribosomal RNA". It matches the Rfam family "Bacterial small subunit ribosomal RNA", at positions 28 to 507 of the family's 1533-position model. The record is from RNAcentral.